AUUGAACGCUGGCGGCAGGCCUAACACAUGCAAGUCGAGCGAAUGGAGGGAGCUUUCUCCUGUAUUCCGCUGCGGACGGGUGGGUAAGUAAUACGAGGCUGCCCUGUCUAUGGGGCUAGGGUCACUUCGCGGGCCCGAAUCCCACAUCCGUCCAUAUGUUGAACCGGAGGGAUCUUCGGUGCACGCCGGUUCUGCUGUGCCUAGGUCGUAUUAGCUAGUUGGUUGGGUAACGGCGUACCAAGGCGACGAUCCGUAGCUGGUCUGAGAGGAUGAUCUGUCACACUGGAACUGAGACACGGUCCAGACUCCUACGGGAGGCAGCAGUGGGGAAUAUUGGACAAUGGGCGAAAGCCUGAUCCAGCCACGCCGCGUGUGUGAAGAAGGUCUUCGGAUCGUAAAGCACUGUUAGUUGGGAGGAAGGGAAGUAUGUUAAUCCCUGGCUGUUUUGACGUUACCUACACAGUAAGCACCGGCUAACUUCGUG
This 484-nucleotide ribosomal RNA is filed under the name uncultured bacterium. RNAcentral describes it as "partial 16S ribosomal RNA". It matches the Rfam family "Bacterial small subunit ribosomal RNA", at positions 30 to 507 of the family's 1533-position model. The record is from RNAcentral.